UCAUAUUGUAAAUUCUAAAAUCACAUAGUGGUCAAGUAAGACAGUAAUACAUGCAUUUAAAACCAUAGAAUAAAUAGACCAGAUACCAUAAUGCAUUUAAACUGUAAAAUAAAUCAAACAGGAAUCGACAGAGAAUAAUGUCUGAUCCGGGCUCCAUAAGCAACCUUAAUUAAUUAUGCAUAUGUAUUAAUUUGCACAAAAAAUAGUAUUAUCAUUUAUUCAAACUUCAAUUCCAUGAUAGGAAAUAGGGUGAGGGGUCCUUACUUGAUUCAACGCCGAAAACUAGAUUGUUACUGCGCCUACGUACAGUCCCUGAGUUCCUUGAAUUUUUCCUCGGGAAUUGAAACGUGCUUACGGUACCUACACA
Molecule: long non-coding RNA, 367 nt
Filed under: Carica papaya (papaya)
Lineage: Eukaryota; Viridiplantae; Streptophyta; Magnoliopsida; Brassicales; Caricaceae
Description: long non-coding RNA (CPAP_LNC003245)
Source: RNAcentral